RNAcentral lists this ribosomal RNA (303 nucleotides) under uncultured bacterium. RNAcentral describes it as "partial 16S ribosomal RNA". It matches the Rfam family "Bacterial small subunit ribosomal RNA", at positions 510 to 808 of the family's 1533-position model. The record is from RNAcentral.
AGCAGUCGCCAGCGGUAAUACGGAGGGUGCAAGCGUUAUCCGGAUUUAUUGGGUUUAAAGGGUCCGUAGGCGGAUCUGUAAGUCAGUGGUGAAAUCUCACAGCUUAACUGUGAAACUGCCAUUGAUACUGCAGGUCUUGAGUAAAUUUGAAGUGGCUGGAAUAAGUAGUGUAGCGGUGAAAUGCAUAGAUAUUACUUAGAACACCAAUUGCGAAGGCAGGUCACUAAGAUUUAACUGACGCUGAUGGACGAAAGCGUGGGGAGCGAACAGGAUUAGAUACCCCUGUAGUCCCUGUCUCUUAUA